Long non-coding RNA from Ananas comosus (pineapple), 771 nucleotides. RefSeq lists it as uncharacterized. Lineage: Eukaryota; Viridiplantae; Streptophyta; Magnoliopsida; Poales; Bromeliaceae. The record is from RefSeq and is a predicted model, not a curated record. The transcript has 3 exons.
CUGUUCCCUUUCUGGACGGAAUGUUGGGCAAGUUCAUAGUCGGUUCUUCCCGUCGCACCCUUUCCCGUUAGCGAGGCCCUAGAUGCCGCUUCGGCUCCCAUUCCCUCUCUGGACGCCGCUCUGGCUCCUGUUCCCUCUCUGGACGAAACCCUAGAUGCCGCUCCGGCUCCCGUUCCCUCUCUGGACGAAAUGUUAGGCCGAGUUUAUCCGGUCGCGCCUCCGGCUACGAAAAUGUGAUCCCUCCGCGGGCUUCGGGCGAUCCCUCCGUGGGCUUCUAUUUCACCUCCGGGCAGCGGAUCGAGUAGAAGCUUCUCGAUUUCAUUCAGGAGGCCAAGCGUUUUGGAGUGAUGGCGUCGCAUCCUAUUGUUGAGAUAAACUUUCAGCGAUUGUUGCGUAAUAUUUGUGCAAAGUUUUCCCUCCCUCCUCCAAGGUACGGAAUCACCGUAGGCUCGGGCGAUCAAUUUUGCGCUUUUGUUGAUGUUCAAGUUCUAAGGUGUAGCCGCUUCAUGGAGGUUAUUACGUGCUGGGGUUCUCCGUCUUCCGAUUCGAUUUUGUCUGAAAAUGAAGCCGCUCAGGCUGCUAUCGAGACGCUGAGCACUGAACUUCAUUUUGACAUAAGGGAUGCUAAUUAUACUAAAAAAAUUUAUUUUAAAAAUUUAUAUGAUAGUGCUUUCCAAAAAUAUGAAGAUCUUCUAAAUGAAUAUGAAAUGCUGAAGAAAGAACAUGCUGUACUCAAGAGGUUUCACAAAUUGUAACGAUUAACUAUAUUUU